RNAcentral lists this ribosomal RNA (424 nucleotides) under uncultured Fusicatenibacter sp. RNAcentral describes it as "bacterial SSU rRNA". It matches the Rfam family "Bacterial small subunit ribosomal RNA", at positions 338 to 759 of the family's 1533-position model. The record is from RNAcentral. Lineage: Bacteria; Bacillati; Bacillota; Clostridia; Lachnospirales; Lachnospiraceae.
CCUACGGGAGGCAGCAGUGAGGAAUAUUGGUCAAUGGACGCGAGUCUGAACCAGCCAAGUAGCGUGAAGGAUGACUGCCCUAUGGGUUGUAAACUUCUUUUAUAUGGGAAUAAAGUUGUCCACGUGUGGAUUUUUGUAUGUACCAUAUGAAUAAGGAUCGGCUAACUCCGUGCCAGCAGCCGCGGUAAUACGGAGGAUCCGAGCGUUAUCCGGAUUUAUUGGGUUUAAAGGGAGCGUAGGCGGACGCUUAAGUCAGUUGUGAAAGUUUGCGGCUCAACCGUAAAAUUGCAGUUGAUACUGGGUGUCUUGAGUACAGUAGAGGCAGGCGGAAUUCGUGGUGUAGCGGUGAAAUGCUUAGAUAUCACGAAGAACUCCGAUUGCGAAGGCAGCACACUAAGCCGUAACUGACGUUCAUGCUCGAAAG